AGAUUGAACGCUGGCGGCAGGCCUAACACAUGCAAGUCGAGCGGCAGCACGGGUACUUGUACCUGGUGGCGAGCGGCGGACGGGUGAGUAAUGCCUAGGAAUCUGCCUGGUAGUGGGGGAUAACGCUCGGAAACGGACGCUAAUACCGCAUACGUCCUACGGGAGAAAGCAGGGGACCUUCGGGCCUUGCGCUAUCAGAUGAGCCUAGGUCGGAUUAGCUAGUUGGUGAGGUAAUGGCUCACCAAGGCGACGAUCCGUAACUGGUCUGAGAGGAUGAUCAGUCACACUGGAACUGAGACACGGGUCCAGUACCGUACCGUACGGGACGGACGACGACG
This 338-nucleotide ribosomal RNA is filed under the name uncultured soil bacterium. Its description in RNAcentral is "bacterial SSU rRNA". It matches the Rfam family "Bacterial small subunit ribosomal RNA", at positions 26 to 345 of the family's 1533-position model. The record is from RNAcentral.